RNAcentral lists this transfer RNA (67 nucleotides) under Moina macrocopa. Its description in RNAcentral is "tRNA-Glu". The record is from RNAcentral. Lineage: Eukaryota; Metazoa; Arthropoda; Branchiopoda; Diplostraca; Moinidae.
GCAACUAUAGUAUAAAUAUUACCCCAUAUUUUCAUUAUGGAAAUGAGAAAUUUAUUCUCUAGUAGCU